RNAcentral lists this ribosomal RNA (484 nucleotides) under uncultured bacterium. RNAcentral's name for it is "partial 16S ribosomal RNA". It matches the Rfam family "Bacterial small subunit ribosomal RNA", at positions 30 to 507 of the family's 1533-position model. The record is from RNAcentral.
AUUGAACGCUGGCGGCAGGCCUAACACAUGCAAGUCGAGCGGAUGAAGGGAGCUUGCUCCUGGAUUCAGCGGCGGACGGGUGAGUAAUGCCUAGGAAUCUGCCUGGUAGUGGGGGAUAACGUCCGGAAACGGGCGCUAAUACCGCAUACGUCCUGAGGGAGAAAGUGGGGGAUCUUCGGACCUCACGCUAUCAGAUGAGCCUAGGUCGGAUUAGCUAGUUGGUGGGGUAAAGGCCUACCAAGGCGACGAUCCGUAACUGGUCUGAGAGGAUGAUCAGUCACACCGGAACAGAGACAGGGUCCCGACUCCUACGGGGGGCAGCGGUCGGGAAUAUUUGACGAUGGGGGAAAGGCUUGUCCAGCCAUGCCGCGUGUGUGAAGAAGGUCUUCGGAUUGUAAAGCACUUUAAGUUGGGAGGAAGGGCAGUAAGUUAAUACCUUGCUGUUUUGACGUUACCAACAGAAUAAGCACCGGCUAACUUCGUG